This 432-nucleotide ribosomal RNA is filed under the name uncultured bacterium. Its description in RNAcentral is "partial 16S ribosomal RNA". It matches the Rfam family "Bacterial small subunit ribosomal RNA", at positions 29 to 506 of the family's 1533-position model. The record is from RNAcentral.
AACGAACGCUGGCGGCAUGCCUAACACAUGCAAGUCGAACGAGACCUUCGGGUCUAGUGGCGCACGGGUGCGUAACGCGUGGGAACCUGCCCUUAGGUUCGGAAUAACUCCCCGAAAGGGGUGCUAAUACCGGAUAAUGUCUUCGGACCAAAGAUUUAUCGCCUUUGGAUGGGCCCGCGUUGGAUUAGCUAGUUGGUAGGGUAAAAGCCUACCAAGGCGACGAUCCAUAGCUGGUCUGAGAGGAUGAUCAGCCACACUGGGACUGAGACACGGCCCAGACCCCUAGGGGAGGAAGAAGGGGGGAAUAUUGGAAAAUGGGCGAAAGCCUGACCCAAAAAUGCCGGGUGGGGGAUGAAGGCCUUAGGGUUGUAAAGCUUUUUUACCCGGGAUGAAAAGGACAGUACGGGGAAAAAAAGCCCCGGCUAACCCCGU